This 1771-nucleotide long non-coding RNA is filed under the name Homo sapiens (human). Its description in RNAcentral is "HSALNT0141970". The record is from RNAcentral. Lineage: Eukaryota; Metazoa; Chordata; Mammalia; Primates; Hominidae.
CUAGUCAAGGAGUGGCAUCAUAUGUUAUCUUUAUGUUAAACUACAUUUCUAUUAUGAUAAGCCUCCUUUAAAGUGUUCCAAAAAUCUCAGCUGGAUAUCAGCAGAAAUAAGGUAAAUUUGAGAAAGGUCUUGGGACUCGCUAGCAAUUAGAAAAAUGAAUAUUAGAAGUAUUUCUCAUUGACAAAAUGCUAAUUGGCUAAAAUACUUUAGAGAUGAGUUCAACUCUGAUGGAAAUAAGCUGGAAUUAUCUAGCAUUCCUGUACCUUCUAACUUCAGGGAAAAUACCUGAAGAUUGACCUCUGAAUAAUCCUGAUUCCAGGCAUUGGUUUGGAGGUUAAUUAAAUCUUUCCCUCAGAAUAUAGAAUAUUAUCACAUUUAUCUUGGCGAAACUUUCAUAUAAAUGCAUUGAAAGUACUUAUAAAACCAUAAUGAGGAGUAUGACUUCAGUUUUGGAUAUUUCACUGAGGACAAUUCUAAGCCUCACCCUUUCUUUCCUCUUGUGUACACAAUCUAGACAAACUGAUAAGAAAGCCUGGAUGUCACUCCUUUGGCAUUGGCAGGAGAGUUAAACGACAUGAGCCCUUUCCAGCACAGAGAAGCUCUCAUCUCUGCCUCAUCCCCUAAUCGCAAUAAGAAACCCAAGCCAGACUUCCUCCUUUGCUUUCUCAAGCCAUUUAUGACCUGCCCUGCUUUCCCCAGAUAUCUCAAUUAUAAACUGAAAGUAUGGAAGAGCAAAUGCAUGGCCCAGAACCUCAGAGCUAGCCUGGCACAGCGGUUCACACCUGUAAUCUCAGCACUUUGGGAGACCAGGGAAGUGGAUCAUUUGAGGACAGGAGUUCAAGACCAGCCUGGCCAACAUGAUGAAACUCCAUCUCUACUAAAAAAAAAAAAAUACAAAAAUUAGCCUGGCAUGGUGGCACAUGCCUGUAGUCCCAGCUAUUCGGGAGGCUGAGGCAGGAGAAUCACUUGAACCUGGGAGAUGGAGGCUGCAGUCAGCCUAGAUCACGCCACUGCACUCCAGCCUGGGCGAAAAAGUGCGAUUCCAUCUCAAGAAAAAUAAAAUACCUGGUUAUUUGUUUUCUUACUACUGAGUUGUUUGGAUUCCUUAGGCAUUUUGGAUAUUCACUUUUCACAAGAUACAUUGUUUGCAAAUAUUUUCUCCCAUUCUGUAGGCUGUCUCUUUACCCUGUGGAUUGAUUCCUUGGCUGUGCAGAAAAGUUUUAGCUUAAUGUAAUUCCAUUCAUUUAUUUUUGUUUUUCCUGCCUGUACUUUUGGAUUUAUAUCCAAAAAUACCAUUGCCAAUGACAUGGAGGCUUUUCCUUGUUUCCUUCUAGUAAUUUUACAGUUUCCAGUCUGCCAUUUAAGUCUUUAUUUUGCAUUUAUUUUUAUGUGUGGUGUGAAAUAAAGUUCUGGUUUUAUUCCUGCAUAUAAAUAUUUACUCCAGUUGUCCCAAAACCAUUUAUUGAAGAGACUGUUCUUUCCCCAUGCCAAGAAGAGACUGUUCUUGGCACCUAUGGUGAAAAUCAAUUAAUUGUAAAUGUAUGAAUCAAUUUCUGGGCUUUCUAUUCUGUUCAUUUGGUCUAUGAGUCUGUUUUUAUGACAGUACCAUGUCAGAGCUAGUAAUUUUGAUGCUACACUAUGUAUCCAAGUAUUAUUUCUUCACCAUGUCAUGUUAUCUUUACAAAGAAAAGUAGGAGGUUCAUUGAAGAACAUGCAUAGACAAGUAUUUUCAAAGAAUUGACACUUUUUCUUAAACUUUCAUCAUUAAAAC